GGCGGGAAUAGCUCAGUGGUAGAGCAUCGCCUUGCCAAGGCGAGGGUCGCGGGUUCGAAUCCCGUUUCCCGCUU
This 74-nucleotide transfer RNA is filed under the name Candidatus Moduliflexus flocculans. Its description in RNAcentral is "tRNA-Gly(gcc)". It matches the Rfam family "tRNA". From Rfam's summary of the family: Transfer RNA (tRNA) molecules are approximately 80 nucleotides in length. Their secondary structure includes four short double-helical elements and three loops (D, anti-codon, and T loops). Lineage: Bacteria; Candidatus Moduliflexota; Candidatus Moduliflexia; Candidatus Moduliflexales; Candidatus Moduliflexaceae. The record is from RNAcentral.